Molecule: ribosomal RNA, 253 nt
Filed under: uncultured bacterium
Lineage: Bacteria
Description: partial 16S ribosomal RNA
Rfam family: Bacterial small subunit ribosomal RNA
Source: RNAcentral
UACGUAGGGGGCUAGCGUUGUCCGGAAUCAUUGGGCGUAAAGAGCGUGUAGGCGGCCCGGUAAGUCCGCUGUGAAAGUCGGGGGCUCAACCCUCGAAUGCCGGUGGAUACUGUCGGGCUAGAGUGCGGAAGAGGCGAGUGGAAUUCCUGGUGUAGCGGUGAAAUGCGCAGAUAUCAGGAGGAACACCAAUUGCGAAGGCAGCUCGCUGGGACGUAACUGACGCUGAGGCGCGAAAGCUAGGGGAGCAAACGGG